RNAcentral lists this transfer RNA (71 nucleotides) under Ovis aries (sheep). It matches the Rfam family "tRNA". From Rfam's summary of the family: Transfer RNA (tRNA) molecules are approximately 80 nucleotides in length. The record is from Rfam by way of RNAcentral. Lineage: Eukaryota; Metazoa; Chordata; Mammalia; Artiodactyla; Bovidae.
UCCCUGGUGGUUCAGUGGCUGACUUCAUCCUCCUAAUGCAGAGGGCCCAGGUUCAAUUCCUGGUCAGGGAA